UACGGAGGAUCCAAGCGUUAUCCGGAUUUAUUGGGUUUAAAGGGUGCGUAGGCGGCGUUGUAAGUCAGUGGUGAAAGUUUUCAGCUUAACUGGAAAAUUGCCAUUGAUACUGCAGUGCUUGAGUACAGAUGAGGUGGGCGGAAUGUGUCAUGUAGCGGUGAAAUGCAUAGAUAUGACACAGAACACCGAUUGCGAAGGCAGCUCACUAAGCUGUAACUGACGCUGAGGCACGAAAGCGUGGGGAUCAAACAGG
This 253-nucleotide ribosomal RNA is filed under the name uncultured bacterium. RNAcentral describes it as "partial 16S ribosomal RNA". It matches the Rfam family "Bacterial small subunit ribosomal RNA", at positions 524 to 776 of the family's 1533-position model. The record is from RNAcentral.